CAGUCAUUCAAUUUAGAAUUCCAAGUCUCGAAAUCUGGGCUCUUUCUAGAGCUCCACUUUCCAAAAGAAACAUUACUUUUGCGGAUUGGUCGAGGUAUGCGUGAAUGGCCUCCACCUGAAAGUUGGAUGCGAUCCGCCAACCAAGUCCUAAAGAAGAAGAAAAAGAAGAUUGGUCGAAAAGAGGCGUCACAGCGAAUGAGGACAUCGUGGAGUCCACUGAGUCACGGUUGUAUCAGCUGAUUCUUUCUGAGUGAAUAGCUAACCUGAUAGUUUUUUUAUUUUCAAAAUAAACAAACAUGUACAAUAUUUUAAAGUAUUUGCAUUAUGUUGCACGGCUUCUGCAAAAUAUGCCGUAUAUUACCUACAUGUUGACAUGUGUCUGCGUUUUGAACAGCCCACUUCGUAAUCUCGUGCUAGAAGCAAUUGUAGUCCUCUCCCCCUAGUAGCUGGUGUGUUUGAUGGGUCACCACGACUCUCGCUAGCUACAUUGGUUAACGAUACUAGCCAGCUCCUAGUUUUCAUACAACACCCUUUCUGCCUUUGGCACCUGUUUGGUUACACCACUUUGUUUUUGGUUGUGUGCGACACGGUGUGACCAUUGGGCUAGGCAUUUAGCUGUCAAACUGUGCUGUUUAGCGUGCUUUUAGAUGCUUUUCUAGGCUAGCUAAUGUCAAUUUGAAAGACCAUGUCACAGCAAAGGAGUACCCGAAAAACGCAGCCGGGUCGCUGAUGAGCUGUCGGUGACGCAACAGUAUCUAGCUUGUCUCGAGGGGUGGCGAAAUGUCAUAUACCAGAAGAUCAUAAUAAAGUAACGCUAGUGACUAUGCACUAUGGUUUGUGUAUCAUGCUAAAUAGCUGAUUUUAGUAUUACUUUAAUAUUAGCACCAUGUGCCAAGCUUCUUUGCCCCUCCCGAAAUGUCAAGGGAGUAUGCUGGUGUGUAUAGCUACAGAUUGUAUGCCAGAAUGUGAUAUAAUCAAAGAUUGUUCGUGUCAGAUACAUACUGGCGUUUAAAGGAAUGCCCCAUACAAACCACCAGCAUAGAUUUGAACUAACCUGUUCUUGGCGAUACUUUUUGUAACAAAUCUAGAAUGAAGACAUUUGUAAGAAAGUAUCUUACAAAUGUCAGUUUCUAGUUGCAGGUGGUUCUACAAAAAAAACAGCGAAAACUCAGAUAUCGGCCAAAAAUGUCAUAUCGGUUCAUCACUAGAAUAACCCUUAUCGGUCUCCGAC
Oncorhynchus tshawytscha (Chinook salmon) is the source of this 1231-nucleotide long non-coding RNA. NCBI's taxonomy places the organism in Eukaryota, Metazoa, Chordata, Actinopteri, Salmoniformes, Salmonidae. The record is from Ensembl.